UCCGUAUGUGAACCUGCGGAAGGAUCAUU
This 29-nucleotide ribosomal RNA is filed under the name Tuber melanosporum (Perigord truffle). Its description in RNAcentral is "partial 18S ribosomal RNA". The record is from RNAcentral. Lineage: Eukaryota; Fungi; Ascomycota; Pezizomycetes; Pezizales; Tuberaceae.